This 95-nucleotide transfer RNA is filed under the name Serratia sp. CMO1. Its description in RNAcentral is "tRNA-Sec". It matches the Rfam family "Selenocysteine transfer RNA". The record is from RNAcentral. Lineage: Bacteria; Pseudomonadati; Pseudomonadota; Gammaproteobacteria; Enterobacterales; Yersiniaceae.
GGAAGAUCCUCGUCCCCGGUGGGGCGGCCGGACUUCAAAUCCGGUUGGGGCCGCCAGCGGUCCUGGGCAGGUUCGACUCCUGUCAUCUUCCGCCA